GGAGAUCUCUCUGUCUGGAGAGAUCUCGCUGGGGCCUCCAAAUGUUGUGGCGUGAUCAAUUCUAAGACCCACGGAGCCAAUUGAGAUGAAUUAUGAGCCUUUAUUAG
This is a microRNA precursor of Pteropus vampyrus (large flying fox), 107 nucleotides long. The record is from Ensembl. NCBI's taxonomy places the organism in Eukaryota, Metazoa, Chordata, Mammalia, Chiroptera, Pteropodidae.